Molecule: ribosomal RNA, 253 nt
Filed under: uncultured bacterium
Lineage: Bacteria
Description: partial 16S ribosomal RNA
Rfam family: Bacterial small subunit ribosomal RNA
Source: RNAcentral
UACGAAGGGGGCUAGCGUUGUUCGGAAUCACUGGGCGUAAAGGGUGCGUAGGCGGAUUCUUAAGUCAGGGGUGAAAUCCCGAGGCUCAACCUCGGAACUGCCUUUGAUACUGGGGAUCUUGAGUCCGGAAGAGGUGAGUGGAACUGCGAGUGUAGAGGUGAAAUUCGUAGAUAUUCGCAAGAACACCGGUGGCGAAGGCGGCUCACUGGUCCGGUACUGACGCUGAGGUGCGAAAGCGUGGGGAGCAAACAGG